GACGAACGCUGGCGGCGUGCUUAACACAUGCAAGUCGAACGGAAAGGCCCUGCUUUUGUGGGUUGCUCGAGUGGCUAACGUUUGAGUAACACGUGAGUAACCUGCCCUUGACUUUGGGAUAACUUCAGGAAACUGGGGCUAAUACCGGAUAGGAGCUCCUGCUGCAUGGUGGGGGUUGGAAAGUUUCGGCGGUUGGGGAUGGACUCGCGGCUUAUCAGCUUUUUGGUGGGGUCGUUGCUUACCAAGGCUUUGACGGGUAGCCGGCCUGAGAGGGUGACCGGCGACAUUGGGACUGAGAUACGGCCCAGACUACUACGGGAGGCAGCAGUGGGGAAUAUUGCACAAUGGGCGGAAGCCUGAUGCAGCAACGCGGCGGGCGGGAUGACGGCCUUCGGGUUGUAAACCGCUUUCGCCUGUGACGAAGCGUGAGUGACGGUAAUGGGUAAAGAAGCACCGGCUAACUACGUG
Molecule: ribosomal RNA, 468 nt
Filed under: uncultured bacterium
Lineage: Bacteria
Description: partial 16S ribosomal RNA
Rfam family: Bacterial small subunit ribosomal RNA
Source: RNAcentral